Molecule: ribosomal RNA, 579 nt
Filed under: Salmonella enterica subsp. diarizonae
Lineage: Bacteria; Pseudomonadati; Pseudomonadota; Gammaproteobacteria; Enterobacterales; Enterobacteriaceae
Description: partial 23S ribosomal RNA
Rfam family: Bacterial large subunit ribosomal RNA
Source: RNAcentral
GGGUUGUGAGGUUAAGCGACCAAGCGUACACGGUGGAUGCCCUGGCAGUCAGAGGCGAUGAAGGACGUGCUAAUCUGCGAAAAGCGCCGGUAAGGUGAUAUGAACCGUUAUAACCGGCGAUGUCCGAAUGGGGAAACCCAGUGUGACUCGUCACACUAUCAUUAACUGAAUCCAUAGGUUAAUGAGGCGAACCGGGGGAACUGAAACAUCUAAGUACCCCGAGGAAAAGAAAUCAACCGAGAUUCCCCCAGUAGCGGCGAGCGAACGGGGAGGAGCCCAGAGCCUGAAUCAGCAUGUGUGUUAGUGGAAGCGUCUGGAAAGGCGCGCGAUACAGGGUGAGAGCCCCGUACACAAAAGCGCACAUGCUGUGAGCUCGAUGAGUAGGGCGGGACACGUGGUAUCCUGUCUGAAUAUGGGGGGACCAUCCUCCAAGGCUAAAUACUCCUGACUGACCGAUAGUGAACCAGUACCGUGAGGGAAAGGCGAAAAGAACCCCGGCGAGGGGAGUGAAACAGAACCUGAAACCGUGUACGUACAAGCAGUGGGAGCCCCACCACUAAGCCAGUGGUGAACUCCACA